UAAGUUUGUAACGAUUAUGUGAAACUUCCUUAUAUUCUAGCAACGGAUUUAUGCAUGCCAAUUAAGUGUCGAUCCUUAAUUAACAAAUACAAAUAAAUUAUCAAUCAAAUAGUUAAGCCAAUUGCAUUCACGAUUCAAGAGUUCAUAACUAGAAUUUAUCAAAUUAUAUUGCACACAUAAUCAUGGCUUUGAAAUCACCCUUAACUAAGAGGGGUUUAGCCACUCAUAUUUACAACAAAACGAAAGGAAAUGAAUUUAAACAUUAGAAACAAAAGAAAGAAAACACUUAAACGCUCCAACGAUCCAAGUUGGACAGCAAGCACGUCCAAGCACUUUCCUUCCCUUCCUUUGCUACGGCACAAGGUAUUGGUGAGUGUUUGAAGGUUUGUUUGUAUGGAGGAAUGGAUGUGAAGAUGAAUGGAUGUGUUUGGAUGAAGGUUGUGUUGAAAUGGGAGUGAAUGAUCUAACAAAGUAUGAACUAAAUUUAUGUUACACACACUUCCUUUUAUAGAGGAAGUGCAUGGCAAUGGAGGGGAACAUGGAGUGGUGUAGCAAUUGAGUGCAAUGAUGCAUGAAAUCUGAAAUGAUGGAGGGAACAAGGAAUGGUGUAGCAAUUGAGUGCAAUGAUUCAAUGUAAUGAUGCAUGAAAUCUGAAAUGAUAGAGGGAACAAGGAAUGGUGUAGCAAUUGAGUGCAAUGAGUGGUGUUUGAAAUGAUUCAAAGGUGAAAGUGAAGUGAUGAUGCAAAGCAUGGGGGUAAAAUGAAGUGGUGUUGCAGCUAAGGAACAUGAAUGAUUGUGCACAUGGUAGAGAAAGGAAAUGGAGGUGGAAUGAUGCAACAAAUGAGUCAAUGGAGGGAAUAUGGAUGAUGAUGCACGACAUAGGAAUCCAAAGGGAGUGCAAUGGUGGUGCACAACAAUGAUGGAAAAAUGAAUGGUGGAGUGACACCCCUUUGUGGUUGAGCUCUUUGUCCUUUUUACAUUAAUUCUUCUUUCUCUUUAACACAUUCCUAGCCUCUUUAGUCUUCAAUUUCAUCCAUCCACCUUGCUCCAUGCAUGUGUUAUUCAUUCCAAGCCCAAAACUGCUCCAAAAUGCACCAAAAUGCAUCUUAUUGCUUCGUAAGGCCUAUGGACCUACAAACACACGAAAAUAGCUUAAAAUACAUAAUUAACUAAGAAAUAACAACAUAAAUGUAUGAGAACAAGCUAACUCAGUCGCAUAAAUAUGCUCCUAUCAAAUUCCCCCACAGUUAGCUUUUGCUAGUCCUCGAGCAAAACAAAACAAACGAAACAAACAAAACACAACCUAGACCUUCCAACAUUUGCCUCAGGGAUUUUUAAUGAAACAUGACAUGUUAAAAAUCAUCAUUCCCACAGAUUUUGACAUGUUAAAAAUCAUCAUUCCCACAGUGACCACUUACUAGUUCAGAAUUAACAAAUUAAAACGAUGUUUUGAAUGUAGUAACAUGCCUUAGAGAAUUUGCUCAAUUUCUUACAAGAUACUCUCUAUUUUCACACACAUUUUCUGACUACACACCCUACACUAGUAUAUGUGAGAAGCUUAAUGUAAACACAAAAGACUAGGACUCACAUAUGUUAUAACAAAGAAAGCAAUUUUCUGGAGUUAUUAAACAUGUUUAGAUAUGAUCUCAUGAAUGGAAUGCUACUACUUAGAUGCGAGAACCAGUGACACCAUAUGCUCAUACCAAUUUCGAACUCCACAAAUUAAAACACAUAACACUCAAGAUUGAAGUCAAGGGUUGUAACAGGGCUUGGGGUAAUGGCUAAUAAAGAAAGGAUAGGAAUAACAAACGUUCUUAAAGCGAUAGCAAGCAAAGCAAUGAAAUAGACACUUGGAAUUCACUUUAGAAUGCAGAAUCAACUUUUAAAUACAAAGGGAAGAUUCAUGCAACACUUAGGGCCGAAUUCAAUGUUUUGGACCCUUUUUUAACAAACUUUUUUCUUUUCACUUUUUUUUUCCCUACCCGUGCCUUAUUAAGGACUUUGGCACACACACACACACAAGAAUCACUUCCCCCACACUUGCUUUCUGCAAUACAUUGAUAAAAAAAAGGAGUUCAUUUUAAGUCAUGCUUUACUAUGCUUCAAGAACAAGGGUAUGGAUGGUCCUAAAACUAGGCUAGGUAAGGAUAGUGUGGAUUAACAAAGAACAUAGGCUUAACAAAGCUCAACGGGGUUAAACUUAAACACAUAAUGAAAUAGGGGCACGGCAAUUUGGCUUUGGUGGUCACUACACAACUUCAUCUUGAAUAUGUGUUAUGCAAAUCAAUAGCAUGCUUUGAAUGAAAUAGGCAUGAGUUCUAUUAUUUGGAACUAAAUGAUGAAACGCCUUCUAAGUAGCAACCAAGCAAAGAAUAAUGAGAUCAUGCAACGACUUUAGAAAACAAUGAUGCACAGAUUAUUAACUCUCCAAAUAAACGUUUAGGCUCAAGUCUCACAAGGUUGUAGUGUUCAUUUGAGUUCAUUCAAAGCAUGUUACAAAAAUGAAUUUUUCCUUUAUAAUUGCAUGUGAAUUCAUAAAUUAUAACCACAACCAAGCAUACACCAAAGAGUAAAUCAAAUUUUCAUCCAUGUUUAUAACUCUCUUUAACAAUCAUAAUUAAAAACCAAAUCCUCAUCAUUGUGUUGGAAGGUACCCUAAGACACAAAUAAACACACAAAAACAACUCUUUUUGGGUUUUUUAAAACAAUUUUUCAAAUUUUUAUGAGAUUUUCGGAUUUUUAUGUCAAAACACACUAAAACACUCAAAAACAGUUUAAAAACACUUAAAAACAGUAAGGAACAACACUAGAAGUAAUGGGUGAUAAACUCCUACGAAUUUUAUGCAAAACAACUUGGUUACCCCCCCAACACUUAAAUCAAACAUUGUCCUCAAUGUUUCAAGCACAAACUCACACAAAAACAAGCAAACAAACAAACAACGAAUAAACAUGACAAGUAUAGCAAAGUAAAAACCAGACAGAGUAGAGUUUAAGAACGCAAAUCUGGUUUUGGAGAUGGAUGAUCUUGUUGACGGUGCAUACGGCCUUUGAUAGAAUCCCGGAGGUUGCUGUCUGAAUGCACUUUGUUGUUGGGUUUGUUGAGGCUCCCUCCAUUUGAAAUUUGGAUGAUCUCUCCAACCUGGAUUGUAUGUAUUCGAGAACGGAUCAUUUCUUGGUUGGUUUUGACUCCCAAAACCCACAGCGUUGGCAGAUUCCCACCUUCCGUUCUCGAUCAAUUGAAGGCACUUAUCCGUGAGAUGUCCAUUCAUUGAGCACACGCCACAAGCAGCUACACUUUGUUCUUUUGGUUUUUCAACCACCUGUGAAAGAAAAGUAGUAAGAUUAGCCAUUUGAUUUUGAAGUUCAAAAACAGCACUUACCUCAUUAACUUGUUGCUGUCGUGGGUUGUCUCUUUGACCAACGCCUUCAUAUUGUUAAGCAUUCAAUGCUUGGUUAGCAAUUAAGGUCUUGGCAGCCAUGGGUGUUUUGUCCACCAAAGCUCCUCCCGCUGAGGCGUCUAGCAUUUGGCGUUCAAUUGGUAGAAGCCCUUCGUAGAAAUAUUGAAGAAGAAGCUCCUUCUUCAUCUGGUGCUGUGGACAUGAAGCAACAAGGGUUUUAAAAUGCUCAUAGUAAGUGGGAAAAAAUUCACCUUGGUUUUGCUGAAUGCGACUAAUCCUUUUGCAUAGUAGAAUGACUCGAGAGUUGGAAAAAACUUCUCCAAAAAUGCCCGUUUCAUACUCUCCCAUGAUGUGACAGUUCUGGGGGCUAGCUCAUACAACCAAUCUUUAGCCUUUUCCAAGAGAGAAAAGGGAAAAGCCUUCAUUUUCAGAAUGCUCCCAUCAACAUUCACAGGGGUCAUGCUCGAACAAACAACCUCGAACUCCUUCAAAUGUUUAUUAAGAUCUUCCAUGGACAACCCAUGGAACUUAGGAAUAUGGUGCAAUAAACUGGACUUUAAUUCGAACUCGUCGGUCUUGUUUUGGGCCACUCUUGGAUAUUGAAUGCAUAAAGGCAGAGCAUUGUCCAAUCCCGAAGCGGAAAACUCCUUGAUUGUUUGAUUGUCUACUGCCAUAUCUUGGGACUUCUUCAAAAGUCCUUGUCGUGGCCUCCUCUUGCUCUUCUACUUUGUCUUCUUCAAGAUCUGGUGCAGGUUAAGAUGAUUGGGGUUCUUGUUGAUUCCUUGCUCGUCUCAAAGUUCGUUCAAAAUCGUCGUCAAAGUCAAAGAUGUGCUUAUGAACAGGUUGAGAACUUCGAGUCAUAAACCACCAAAAACAAGAAAACAACUAAAAUCAGCAACUAGGAACAAAAACACAUGAAAAUAAACAAAAAGAAAUAAUAAGGGAUUAGCAAAGUUGCUAAUCCCCGGCAACGACGCCAAAAACUUGAUGCGAAAAUUAUCUUAACACACAAAUUUAACCCUUUUUUUUAUAAUUGUAGUACAAGUAUAAGUAGGGAUCGUUCUGGACCGGGGAUUAGGAGGGCUUGCUAAUAACCUCUAAACUGACUCAAAAACAUAAAACUAAAUUUAAAAACACUUAACAUGACCCACAAAACUCAAGGCAAACUUAAAAUACUCAAAACAGCUUAAAACAACCAAAUAAACUUAAACUAGACACUAGGAAUGACUUUGGACGAAAAUUGGCUUUCACUUGAAUCAAAACACUUAAAAACACAAACUAAAACAGAUUUGAAACACUUUGAAACAAGAAAUUAAAAAGGGGGUUUUGAUUUGGAUGAAGUUGGAACAAAUAAACAAGUAUGAAAAACUAGACAGAUUGUAAGACAAAUUUGAGAAAUAAGAUGAUGGAUGGGAUAGCUAGAGGCUUUUUCUCCACACAUGACAUGUAUGCAAAUAACUUGAUUUCCAGUUACUACUUCAUUGAAUUAUGAACGACAAUGCUCCAAAUUAAUCGUGACAUCACUAGUUAACUUUCAUAUUUCCUUGUUUUAUUGGAUUGGAUGAAAUCAUUCGACAAUCCAAAACAUUCUUCAAAAGUUCCCUACAUGACAUCAUAAUAGAGAUACAAUCAAAGAUCAUUACGUUUAAUGAAAAUCAUAAGCAUUGACAAAGCACUUGCAACUAUGACAUCAUGUCGCUUAUGCUAGGAAUUGAACUUAACGUGAUCGUUUAUAAGUGACCUUCACUACAUGUGAAUAUAAGUUUGUAACGAUUAUGUGAAACUUCCUUAUAUUCUAGCAACGGAUUUAUGCAUGCCAAUUAAGUGUCGACCCUUAAUUAACAAAUACAAAUAAGUUAUCAAUCAAAUAGUUAAGUCAAUUGCAUUCACGAUUCAAGAGUUCAUAACUAGAAUUUAUCAAAUUUUAUUGCACACAUAAUCAUGGCUUUGAAAUCACCCCUAGCCAAGAGGGGUUUAGCCACUCAUAUUUACAACAAAACGAAAGGAAAUGAAUUUAAACAUUAGAAACAAAAGAAAGAAAACACCUAAACGCUCUAACGAUCCAAGUUGGACAGCAAGCACGUCCAAGCACUUUCCUUCCCUUCCUUUGCUACGGCACAAGGUAUUGUUGAGUGUUUGAAGGUUUGUUUGUAUGGAGGAAUGGAUGUGAAGAUGAAUGGAUGUGAAGAUGAAUGGAUGUGUUUGGAUGAAGGUUGUGUUGAAAUGGGAGUGAAUGAUCUAACAAAGUAUGAACUAAAUUUAUGUUACACACACUUCCUUUUAUAGAGGAAAUGCAUGGCAAUGGAGGGGAACAUGGAGUGGUGUAGCAAUUGAGUGCAAUGAUGCAUGAAAUCUAAAAUGAUAGAGGGAACAAGGAAUGGUGUAGCAAUUGAGUGCAAUGAUUCAAUGUAAUGAUGCAUGAAAUCUGAAAUG
RNAcentral lists this long non-coding RNA (5831 nucleotides) under Malus domestica (apple). Its description in RNAcentral is "long non-coding RNA (MDOM_LNC003614)". Lineage: Eukaryota; Viridiplantae; Streptophyta; Magnoliopsida; Rosales; Rosaceae. The record is from RNAcentral.